Papio anubis (olive baboon) is the source of this 91-nucleotide small nucleolar RNA. Its record names the gene U3. It matches the Rfam family "Small nucleolar RNA U3". Rfam says of the family: Small nucleolar RNAs (snoRNAs) are involved in the processing and modification of rRNA in the nucleolus. There are two main classes of snoRNAs: the box C/D class, and the box H/ACA class. U3 snoRNA is a member of the box C/D class. The record is from Ensembl. NCBI's taxonomy places the organism in Eukaryota, Metazoa, Chordata, Mammalia, Primates, Cercopithecidae.
AAGACUAUACUUUCAGGGAUCAUUUCUAUGGUUGGUUACCAGAGAAGUUUCUCUGAACAUGUAGAGCACUGGUAAAAGAGUCUCACUCUGU